GACGAACGCUGGCGGCGUGCUUAACACAUGCAAGUCGAACGGAAAGGCCCUGCUUUUGUGGGGUGCUCGAGUGGCGAACGGGUGAGUAACACGUGAGUCACCUUCCCUUGACUUUGGGAUAACUUCAGGCAACUGGGGCUAAUACCGGAUACGAGCUCCUGCUACCUGGUGGGGGUUGGAAAGUUUCGGCGGUUGUGGAUGUACUCGCGGCUUAUCAGCUUGUUGGUGGGGUAGUGGCUUACCAAGGCUUUGACGGGUAGCCUGCCUGAGAGGGUGACCGGCCACAGUGGGACUGAGAUACGGCCCAGAGGCAUACGGGAGGAAGGAGUGGGGAAUAUUGCACAAUGGGCGGAAGCCUGAUGCAGGAACGCCGCGUGCGGGAUGACGGCAUUCGGGGUGUAAACCGAGUUCGCCUGUGACGAAGCGUGAGUGACGGUAAUGGGUAAAGAAGCACCGGCUAACUACGU
Molecule: ribosomal RNA, 467 nt
Filed under: uncultured bacterium
Lineage: Bacteria
Description: partial 16S ribosomal RNA
Rfam family: Bacterial small subunit ribosomal RNA
Source: RNAcentral